This 314-nucleotide long non-coding RNA is filed under the name Homo sapiens (human). RNAcentral describes it as "non-protein coding lnc-GSDMC-8:1". The record is from RNAcentral. Lineage: Eukaryota; Metazoa; Chordata; Mammalia; Primates; Hominidae.
AGCUCCAUUCUUAGUGAGUUUUAAAUUUUUUAGUUGAAUAUUUUAUAUUGGAGAUGGAAGGGAAAGUUAGGUUAUAUCACACAUCACCCAAAAUACUUCAUAAACACUUUUAGUUGACCAUGCUCUUUUCCAUAACAUCUCUUCCCCUGGCUACAUACUGCCUAUGUCUCUCUUCCCCUUCGGUCUCAAUUAUCUUCCCCAGACACCAUAUCUCUCCAAGUUCAUUAAUGUUAGUUCUUUUUCUUCCAUCUUAGCUACAAUUUGCAUCCUCACCACCUUUGACAAUGUAACACCCUUCUUAGAAGGAAGAAGGG